Daktulosphaira vitifoliae (grape phylloxera) is the source of this 781-nucleotide long non-coding RNA. RefSeq lists it as uncharacterized. NCBI's taxonomy places the organism in Eukaryota, Metazoa, Arthropoda, Insecta, Hemiptera, Phylloxeridae. The transcript has 3 exons. The record is from RefSeq and is a predicted model, not a curated record.
AUAAGAAAUAUUUCUGAAAAAGAUGGUGAUGAUAUAAAUGAGUCAAUAAAUCUAUCAUUAUAUGAAAACUGUGAGCAACUCUCAUCUUUAGAAGAUAAUUCUGUCAAUGUUUUACAGAACACAGAAGGAACUAUUUCAGAAGAAAAAAUUGACAAUUUGAGUGAGUCUGAAAAUGUUUCUUCAACUAAUGAUGAUAAACAAUCACAAUUACCUAUCAAAAACAAUUAUCUUAAGAAUAAAAACAAAGUAGAUGAGAUAAGCAGAGAGACUCAGCGGCUAAUUGCUGGUAAUGGUCAUGUAAGACUUCCAUAUCAUAAACCUAAACAAAAAUCAUUGAGCGAUUUUUUAGAUAGGAAAAAACAUCUUUUGGCUAACGCCUCAGUUACAGGAUCACGAAAAAAACUUCAACGUGCAUGGUCAGUAUAUUUAUUUCUAAAUUUGAAAAUCAAAUGUACAUAUUACUUUGAAAUUCUAAAUCCGUAUUUUAACUCCCUAUUAAUUGAAUUAUGCCAUGAUUACCGUUAAAUCUAAAAAUUUAAAAAUAUAGUUUUAAAAAUUUAAUUUAUGUAAAGUAUAGUUAUGAAGAAGAAUGAAAUGCUGGAGAAAGAAUCCUGGAUUUCGCAGUAUCGAAUGAUCUUGCUGUGGUUAAUACUUAUUUUAGAAAGAGGGAAGAACAUUAUAUAACUUGUAAGAGUAGAAGGAAUACAUACAAGAGUGUGGAAAUUAUAGAGGCAUAAAGCUUAUGAGUCAUAGUAUGAAAAUUUGGGAAAAGGUAAUAGAU